UACGGAGGGUGCAAGCGUUAAUCGGAAUUACUGGGCGUAAAGCGCACGUAGGUGGUUUUCUAAGUCAGCUGUGAAAUCCCCGGGCUCAACCCGGGAACUGCGUCCGAUACUGGAAGGCUUGAAUCCGGGAGAGGGAUGCGGAAUUCCAGGUGUAGCGGUGAAAUGCGUAGAUAUCUGGAGGAACACCGGUGGCGAAGGCGGCAUCCUGGACCGGUAUUGACGCUGAGGCGCGAAAGCCAGGGGAGCAAACGGG
RNAcentral lists this ribosomal RNA (253 nucleotides) under uncultured bacterium. RNAcentral's name for it is "partial 16S ribosomal RNA". It matches the Rfam family "Bacterial small subunit ribosomal RNA", at positions 524 to 776 of the family's 1533-position model. The record is from RNAcentral.